AUACUUACCUGGAUGGGGUUAAUGGGCGAUCAUGAAGGUCCAUUGCCUAGGGUUGUGACUUCCAUUGCACUUUGGAGGGGUACUCCUCUAAGAUCUGCCCCAGUGGUAGAAUCUACAUCAUAAUUUGUUGCUGUGGAGGCCUGCGUUCGCGCGGCCUCUU
This is a small nuclear RNA of Lupinus angustifolius (narrow-leaved blue lupine), 160 nucleotides long. It matches the Rfam family "U1 spliceosomal RNA". Rfam says of the family: U1 is a small nuclear RNA (snRNA) component of the spliceosome (involved in pre-mRNA splicing). Its 5' end forms complementary base pairs with the 5' splice junction, thus defining the 5' donor site of an intron. The record is from Rfam. Lineage: Eukaryota; Viridiplantae; Streptophyta; Magnoliopsida; Fabales; Fabaceae.